Amphimedon queenslandica is the source of this 225-nucleotide long non-coding RNA. RefSeq lists it as uncharacterized. Lineage: Eukaryota; Metazoa; Porifera; Demospongiae; Haplosclerida; Niphatidae. The transcript has 2 exons. The record is from RefSeq and is a predicted model, not a curated record.
AGUGGUAGCAACUUGCAAGGAAUAUUUUAUAAGGACAAACACAAGUUGUUCUGUUCUUUGUCACCUUAUAUGUACCUCAAAACAAUUAAUUUUAAUUUAUAAAAUUGAACAAAUGUUGGGGACCAAGGAGUUGUAUUGGUAUGAGGUUUGCACUAAUGGAGGCUAAAGCAUGUUUAGUGAGUAUAUUGAGGAAGUAUAGGUUUGAAAGAUCACCUGAUACUCAGG